RNAcentral lists this ribosomal RNA (895 nucleotides) under Osornolobus sp. 1 NCP-2017. RNAcentral describes it as "partial 16S ribosomal RNA". The stretch from base 1 to 449 matches the Rfam family "Bacterial large subunit ribosomal RNA", at positions 1930 to 2925 of the family's 2925-position model. Lineage: Eukaryota; Metazoa; Arthropoda; Arachnida; Araneae; Orsolobidae. The record is from RNAcentral.
GCUGCAGAAUUUCUGUACUAAGGUAGCAUAAUCAAUUGCCUUCUAAAUCAAGGAUAGAAUGAAAGGUAAAACGAAUUUUAAACUUUUUUAAAAAUGUAACCCAAACUUAAAAUACUGGUAAAAAUUCCACUAAAUAUAAGAAAGACGACAAGACCCUGUUGAACUUUACAUAUGUUUAGCUGGGGAAGCACAUUAACAAAAUCUUACAGAAAUUAUAAAAAAGAACCUUUUUGAUAAUUGAACAAGUUACCACAGGGAUAACAGCAUAAUUUAAUUUUAAAGCUCAUAUUUAAAAUAAAGCUUAUGACCUCGAUGUUGAAUUAAUUUCCUUACAACCGCAAAAUUUUAUAAAGGAAGACUGUUCGUCUUUUUAACAAUUACAUGAUUUGAGUUCAGACCGGUAUAUAAGCCAGGUCGGUUUCUAUCUUCUCAUCCAAAAAUUUCAGUACGAAAGGACCAAAUUUUGUUUUAUAUUAUUAUGACAGAAUAUUGUAUUAGAAUUAGAAUCUAAAAACCCACAUUAUACUAACUAUUAACUCUUUAUUAAUUAUUUUAUCAAUUUUUAUUAGAGUAGCCUUUUACACAAUAAUAGAACGAAAAAUCCUAAGAUAUAUCCAAAUACGAAAAGGACCCAAUAAAGUAGGAAUACUAGGACUAUUACAACCAUUUAGUGAUGCUAUUAAAUUAUUUAAUAAAUCUUUUUCUUUCCCUAUUACAUCAAACUAUACUCUUUCUAUAAUUUCACCCCCCCUAACAAUUUUUUUAGCCAUAUUAAUUUGACCUAUAUUACCCUUUGCAAAAAACAAUACAUUUGAUAUAAUUUUUAACUCUUUAAUUUUUAUAGUAAUUUCCAGUAUCACAGUAUAUUUUAUUAUAAUAAUCGGUUGAGCAGCAA